RNAcentral lists this ribosomal RNA (464 nucleotides) under uncultured bacterium. RNAcentral describes it as "partial 16S ribosomal RNA". It matches the Rfam family "Bacterial small subunit ribosomal RNA", at positions 339 to 795 of the family's 1533-position model. The record is from RNAcentral.
CCUCGGGUGGUAGCAGUAGGGAAGCGUACACAAGGGACGAAAGUCGGAGGGAGUAACGGCGAGUGAGUGAAGAAGGGUUUCGGCUCGUAAAGCUCUGUUGGUAGUGAAGAAAGAUAGAGGUAGUAACUGGCCUUUAUUUGACGGUAAUUACUUAGAAAGUCACGGCUAACUACGUGCCAGCAGCCGCGGUAAUACGUAGGUGGCAAGCGUUGUCCGGAUUUAUUGGGCGUAAAGCGAGUGCAGGCGGUUCAAUAAGUCUGAUGUGAAAGCCUUCGGCUCAACCGGAGAAUUGCAUCAGAAACUGUUGAACUUGAGUGCAGAAGAGGAGAGUGGAACUCCAUGUGUAGCGGUGGAAUGCGUAGAUAUAUGGAAGAACACCAGUGGCGAAGGCGGCUCUCUGGUCUGCAACUGACGCUGAGGCUCGAAAGCAUGGGUAGCGAACAGGAUUAGAUACCCCUGUAGUC